CCGGAGCUAACGCGUUAAGUCGACCGCCUGGGGAGUACGGCCGCAAGGUUAAAACUCAAAUGAAUUGACGGGGGCCCGCACAAGCGGUGGAGCAUGUGGUUUAAUUCGAUGCAACGCGAAGAACCUUACCUGGUCUUGACAUCCACAGAACUUUCCAGAGAUGGAUUGGUGCCUUCGGGAACUGUGAGACAGGUGCUGCAUGGCUGUCGUCAGCUCGUGUUGUGAAAUGUUGGGUUAAGUCCCGCAACGAGCGCAACCCUUAUCCUUUGUUGCCAGCGGUCCGGCCGGGAACUCAAAGGAGACUGCCAGUGAUAAACUGGAGGAAGGUG
RNAcentral lists this ribosomal RNA (329 nucleotides) under Escherichia coli. RNAcentral's name for it is "bacterial SSU rRNA". It matches the Rfam family "Bacterial small subunit ribosomal RNA", at positions 846 to 1175 of the family's 1533-position model. The record is from RNAcentral. Lineage: Bacteria; Pseudomonadati; Pseudomonadota; Gammaproteobacteria; Enterobacterales; Enterobacteriaceae.